CCUUGAGGUGUAAAACAUGUAUGAUUGCAAAUCAUAAGUAGCAGAUCGACGUCUGCCGGGGCUUUC
Molecule: transfer RNA, 66 nt
Filed under: Yongeichthys criniger (horny goby)
Lineage: Eukaryota; Metazoa; Chordata; Actinopteri; Gobiiformes; Gobiidae
Description: tRNA-Cys
Source: RNAcentral